ACCCCGGCCUGGGAUGAUGGCUCACGCCUAUAAUCUCAGCACUUUGGGAGGCUGAGGCAAGAGGAUUGCUUGAGCCCGGGAGGUAGAGGCUGCAUUCAGCAGUGAGGGCAUCACUGCACUCCAGCCUGGGUGACAUAGUGAGACCCUGUCUCAAAAAAAAAAAAAAAAAAAGGCAAGAAAGAAAGGAAUCGUGAUCCACAGCUGCUGCAAUGAUUCAAUUAGUGUAAGACCACCUCCUCUUCCUUCAUCAUUCCCUCCAGCUAAGAUGAGGGUGGAGCCAGUAGCUGGGAAGUUGGCUUGCCAGUAGGUCAUCUGGAGAAGUAAUCCUGCCAAGAUCACACCACAGGGCCUGUCCUGUGACCUGUUUUGACCAAGAGAAUACAUCAAAAGUGUCUCUGGGCCUGGUCUGGGCACAGGCUUAAAGUCUGACACCUUCCACUUUCAUGACUGGGGUGUCCGGAGCCAUCAUAUUAGACGUCCACCUGCCUUCCAUCAUAUGUUGAGGAGGAGUCUGCAACUAUGUGGAGAGGGGAUUCUCAGCAUUCCAGAUGACCUGCCUACUGAAUGCAGCCAUGUGAAGACCAGCAG
RNAcentral lists this long non-coding RNA (588 nucleotides) under Homo sapiens (human). RNAcentral describes it as "non-protein coding lnc-GLT1D1-4:2". Lineage: Eukaryota; Metazoa; Chordata; Mammalia; Primates; Hominidae. The record is from RNAcentral.